UACGUAGGGCGCAAGCGUUCUCCGGACUUAUUGGGCGUACAGAGCUCGUAGGCGGUUUGUCGCGUCUGCCGUGAAAGUCCGGGGCUCAACUCCGGAUCUGCGGUGGGUACGGGCAGACUAGAGUGAUGUAGGGGAGACUGGAAUUCCUGGUGUAGCGGUGAAAUGCGCAGAUAUCAGGAGGAACACCGAUGGCGAAGGCAGGUCUCUGGGCAUUAACUGACGCUGAGGAGCGAAAGCAUGGGGAGCGAACAGG
This 253-nucleotide ribosomal RNA is filed under the name uncultured bacterium. Its description in RNAcentral is "partial 16S ribosomal RNA". It matches the Rfam family "Bacterial small subunit ribosomal RNA", at positions 524 to 776 of the family's 1533-position model. The record is from RNAcentral.